UACGUAGGGGGCAAGCGUUGUCCGGAAUUAUUGGGCGUAAAGAGCGUGUAGGCGGUCCGGUAAGUCAGCUGUGAAAGUCAAGGGCUCAACCCUUGAAAGCCGGUUGAUACUGUCGGGCUAGAGUCCGGAAGAGGCGAGUGGAAUUCCCGGUGUAGCGGUGAAAUGCGCAGAUAUCAGGAAGAACACCCAUGGCGAAGGCAGCUCUCUGGGACGGUACUGACGCUAAGACGCGAAAGCGUGGGGAGCGAACAGG
This 253-nucleotide ribosomal RNA is filed under the name uncultured bacterium. RNAcentral describes it as "partial 16S ribosomal RNA". It matches the Rfam family "Bacterial small subunit ribosomal RNA", at positions 524 to 776 of the family's 1533-position model. The record is from RNAcentral.